Molecule: ribosomal RNA, 403 nt
Filed under: uncultured prokaryote
Description: partial 16S ribosomal RNA
Source: RNAcentral
CCCUAUGGGGUGCAGCAGGCCGUCCUCAUCAUAACGCAACACGGCGUGGCCGCCGGCAUGGAAAUCGCGAGGCAUCCCGGCGGCAAACCGGCCGGCAAACUCCAGUAUCCGUUCGGCACCACCGCCCCGUCUCCUCUUGACCGUUUCCUUCCUCAGCUUGUCCUGGAGUGCCUCGAUUACGACCGACGUGAGGCUUUCUCCCGUCAAAUCACAAAUCUGGGACGCCAGAACAUGAGCUCGGGGAUUCUUCACGUUAAGGCUCACUGGAAGUCCAUCCUUCAACACCAGAGUAGAAGAAAGGCGGGUGAUUCGAGGCGGCGGAAGAUGCUACCGGUGGCAGCCGCCGGGGAUAUGCAUCCAUGCGAAAGAGGAUGGGUGUAUGCUCAGGUGUAGGCGGGAGGGC